RNAcentral lists this unclassified non-coding RNA (417 nucleotides) under uncultured Sebacina. RNAcentral describes it as "sequence contains ITS2". The stretch from base 1 to 154 matches the Rfam family "5.8S ribosomal RNA". The record is from RNAcentral. Lineage: Eukaryota; Fungi; Basidiomycota; Agaricomycetes; Sebacinales; Sebacinaceae.
AACUUUUGACAACGGAUCACUUGGCUCUCGCAUCGAUGAAGAACGCAGCGAAAUGCGAUCAGUAAUGUGAAUUGCAGAAUUCAGUGAAUCAUCGAAUCUUUGAACGCACCUUGCACCCUUAGGCAUUCCGAAGGGUAUGCUCGUUUGAGUGUCAUUGUACUCUCACACUCCCGAUGCUUUUGGAUUGGGAGUGGUGGACUUGGGUGUUGCUGCUUUACUGUGGCUCACCUCAAAUGGAGUAGUGCAACUCUUGGUUGGACAUAGUACGGCGUGAUAAGUGUCUUCGCCGGCGCCUCAUUAGAGGGUGGCCGAUCGGGAGCUCUGUGCUUCAAACCGUCUUCGGACAACAUCUGACAACUUGACCUCAAAUCGAGUAGGACUACCCGCUGAACUUAAGCAUAUCAAUAAGCGGAGGCU